CCUACGGGUGGCAGCAGUGAGGAAUAUUGGUCAAUGGACGAGAGCCUGAACCAGCCAAGUAGCGUGAAGGAUGACUGCCCUAUGGGUUGUAAACUUCUUUUAUAUGGGAAUAAAAUGUUCCACGUGUGGGAUUUUGUAUGUACUAUAUGAAUAAGGAUCGGCUAACUCCGUGCCAGCAGCCGCGGUAAUACGGAGGAUCCGAGCGUUAUCCGGAUUUAUUGGGUUUAAAGGGAGCGUAGGUGGAUUGUUAAGUCAGUUGUGAAAGUUUGCGGCUCAACCGUAAAAUUGCAGUUGAAACUGGCAGUCUUGAGUACAGUAGAGGUGGGCGGAAUUCGUGGUGUAGCGGUGAAAUGCUUAGAUAUCACGAAGAACUCCGAUGGCGAAGGCAGCUCACUGGACUGCAACUGACACUGAGGCUCGAAAGUGUGGGUAUCAAACAGGAUUAGAUACCCCUGUAGUC
RNAcentral lists this ribosomal RNA (460 nucleotides) under uncultured bacterium. Its description in RNAcentral is "partial 16S ribosomal RNA". It matches the Rfam family "Bacterial small subunit ribosomal RNA", at positions 338 to 795 of the family's 1533-position model. The record is from RNAcentral.